GUACUUGCUUUGGCAGCACAUAUAGUAAAAUUAGAAUAAUACAGAGAAGAUUAGCAUGGAUCCUGCAUAUAAUUUUGAUCAUUGAUGCAAAAAAAUGCAAUAAAAUACU
Molecule: small nuclear RNA, 109 nt
Organism: Acomys russatus (golden spiny mouse)
Lineage: Eukaryota; Metazoa; Chordata; Mammalia; Rodentia; Muridae
Source: RefSeq, a predicted model, not a curated record